UUUCAUAAUUCUAGUUUGGUAAGUUUUUAGGAGCGCAAAAGCGCAACAUAUACCUAGGGUGUACAUGUCUUCAUUAGGGGCCUGUACGCCUUUUGAAAGCAUGUCUAAGAUUUAGUGUGUUUUUAUUAGCGCUAGAUAAUUAAUCCUGUUUAUAUGUAACAGCUUUCGUUAGACAUGAUUCAGAGGUAGUUUACUCAAGUGGUCUAGAGGCUUACGGGGUAUAUGUUACCAUGGAUCCUAGCGCACGUUGCACGAAUAUGGAUCCUAAUUGUUGGUGCCUUUGCAUUGUUCUUUCUUCUGUACGUGUAUAAUUGAAUAUGCAACGGCAGUUGGAAAGAACUUGGCUUAGUAGCUAUAGUCAAAGCCAUAGAUAAUCACAUACGGGAUAUGCAUUGCAAAUAUUGGGUUUCCGUAUAAAUUGCUAUGUGUACGUAAUUCUAUUUGUCAAUUUUGCGACGCAGAUCGCAAACAAUUUCAGACUAGACCGGACAAUGGCAAACAUGAUCGAAUUACGCAGUUUGGGUGAUACACUCUUUCAUAAACGCGUUUGGCCUAUCUGAUUAGCUUUUCGUCCAUUGUCUCUGGUUGCCAUGGACAAGCACUCGUAAAUACUGCUCCGUGAUUGGCCCAAACUGUGCAAUAGUGAUGAUGACGUUACCAAAAGAAUAGAGUUCGGGUAAUUCUAAAGCGUUUUCUCAAGUUUCACAGCCGUCCCUAACGUCCAAAAAGAGAUAUCCGUAGAGGAGAAGAAGAAGAAGAAAAUUGGCACAUGGGCCUCAGAGGCCAGCAACUGUUUCUAGCGUGCAAAAGACGACCACGUCCCCACAAUGCUCCAUAACCAGGGCAAUCCCCACGUACAAGGUACUACCAUACCCUGUGAUACAAAAAUCAUGGUAGAAUGAAACACAGUAUCUGACCGUGUGUUACAAGUGACCAUGAAACCAUCUCAGUUGGCAACACCCACCUGAAAAGAUGAUCUAUUAACUAUACAACAAACCACAGAAAACCCUAAUAAAGUCCAACCUGGACCUCCUACCAAACUUAAAAUCGUAUCAUUUACUGCUAUGACUGCUCUUUUGAAAUGGGAGAAAGGAUUUGAUGGUCAUUCACAAAUCAGUGGAUACAAACUGGAAUACAAAAUAGGAACGAGUGCGUGGCAAUGGUUUUCUGGAUUGAAAAUUCCUCCAUCGACAGAAUUUGUGGUUGAGAAUCUUGUACCGAAUACAAGCUAUAAAUUCCGAAUAAAAGCCUUCAAUAAUGUGGGUUUUAGUGUGUGGAGCAAACCAUCACUUGUUAUCACAACUAAAACACAAGAGGACAAACAGACUCAUUGGUUAUUUCUGGAGCUGACACUGAACGGCCCCAUGGAAUGGAUGGAGCAACAAAACCGACUUCAAAGUCAAAGAUAAGAGGGACAGAUAGAGACCUGGCAAGCAGUGGGAUACAAGCACCAAUUGGUGUAUCAGAUAAAGUCGUUGUGACUGAAUCAACAGCACAAUCCACCUCUAGAGAAUGAAACACAGUAUCUGAACGUGUGUUACAAGUGACCAUGAAACCAUCUCAGUUGGUAACACCCACCAGAAAAGAUGAUCUAACCAUUAUACAACAAACCACAGAAAAUCCUAAAAAGUCCAACCCGGACCUCAUACCAAACUUAAAAUCGCAUCAUUUACUGCAACGACUGCUUGUUUGAAAUGGGAAAAAGGAUUUAAUGGUCAUUCACAAAUCAGUGGAUACAAACUUGAAUAUAAAAUAGGAACAAGUGCGUGGCAACGGUUUCCUGGUUUGAAAAUUCCUCCAUCGGCAGAAUUAGUGGUUGAGAAUCUCAUACCGAACACAAGUCAUAAAUUGGAAAUAAAAUCCUUCAAUGACGUGGGUUCUAGUGUGUGGAGCAAACCAUCUCUUGUUAUCACAACUAAAACACAAGAUGACAAAACAGACUCAUUGGUUAUUUCUGGAGCUGACACUGAAUGGCCUCAUGGAACGGAUGGAGCAACAAAACCGACUGCAAAGUCAAAGAUAAGAGAUUAUCUAAGAACUACACAGCAAACCACAGAAAACCCUAAAAAAGUCCAACUCGAACCUUCUACCUAACUCAAAAUCGUGUCAUUUACUGCAACGACUGCUCGUUUGAAAUGGGAAAAGGAUUUGAUGGUCAUUCACAAAUCAGUGGAUACAAACUGGAAUACAAAAUAGGAACGAGUGCGUGGCAACGGUUUUCUGGAUUGAAAAUUCCUUCAUCAACAGAAUUUGUGGUUGAAAACCUCGUACCAAAUACAAGCUAUUGAUUCAGAAUAAGAGCUUUCAAUGACGUGGGCUCCCAUUGUGUGGAGCAAACUAACACUUGUUAUCACAGAAUUGGUUAGUUUAUGGACAGAAUCAUGCAUGAAAUCGCAUUCUUUUACACAUCCACAAUAAAGAUUGAGCAUGAUACGUGCU
Molecule: long non-coding RNA, 2439 nt
Organism: Corticium candelabrum
Lineage: Eukaryota; Metazoa; Porifera; Homoscleromorpha; Homosclerophorida; Plakinidae
Exons: 15
Source: RefSeq, a predicted model, not a curated record